UAGGAAAUCUUCGGCAAUGGGGGCAACCCUGACCGAGCAACGCCGCGUGAGUGAAGAAGGUUUUCGGAUCGUAAAGCUCUGUUGUAAGUCAAGAACGGGUGUGAGAGUAGAAAGUUCACACUGUGACGGUAGCUUACCAGAAAGGGACGGCUAACUACGUGCCAGCAGCCGCGGUAAUACGUAGGUCCCGAGCGUUGUCCGGAUUUAUUGGGCGUAAAGCGAGCGCAGGCGGUUUGAUAAGUCUGAAGUUAAAGGCUGUGGCUCAACCAUAGUUCGCUUUGGAAACUGUCAAACUUGAGUGCAGAAGGGGAGAGUGGAAUUCCAUGUGUAGCGGUGAAAUGCGUAGAUAUAUGGAGGAACACCGGUGGCGAAAGCGGCUCUCUGGUCUGUAACUGACGCUGAGGCUCGAAAGCGUGGGGAGCGAACAGGAUUAGAUACCCUGGUAGUCCACGCCGUAAACGAUGAGUGCUAGGUGUUGGAUCCUUUCCGGGAUUCAGUGCCGCAGCUAACGCAUUAAGCACUCCGCCUGGGGAGUACGACCGCAAGGUUGAAGC
This 554-nucleotide ribosomal RNA is filed under the name uncultured bacterium. RNAcentral describes it as "partial 16S ribosomal RNA". It matches the Rfam family "Bacterial small subunit ribosomal RNA", at positions 355 to 900 of the family's 1533-position model. The record is from RNAcentral.